Molecule: long non-coding RNA, 339 nt
Organism: Megalobrama amblycephala (Wuchang bream)
Lineage: Eukaryota; Metazoa; Chordata; Actinopteri; Cypriniformes; Xenocyprididae
Exons: 3
Source: RefSeq, a predicted model, not a curated record
GUUACAUCAUGUUAGUAAGUUCAGUUUACCAGGAGCAGGUUGGGAACUGUCUGGAGCAGAAAUAAUCCAGCAUUAGGCUCUGGGGUACCUGAGGAGUGAGUGCGAGACCAGGCUGGUGUGGUAAGAGUCCUGUCUGAGACUGAGAUGGCAAGGAAAGCAGAUUGGGCUGCAGAAGUGCUGGAGGAAACAGCAUUUAAACAUUACAUCCACUGACCUUGGUGUCCUGAUUGGGCCUGUGAGAGGAGAAAUGAUGAAGGGGAGGACAGAUGAGAUCCAGGCAUCAGGACGAGCUGGGGGAGAGAGUGCAGGGAGGGCAGCUCCUAAAAAACACCAGCCAUU